This 72-nucleotide transfer RNA is filed under the name Candidatus Vidania fulgoroideorum. Its description in RNAcentral is "tRNA-Asn". It matches the Rfam family "tRNA". From Rfam's summary of the family: Transfer RNA (tRNA) molecules are approximately 80 nucleotides in length. Their secondary structure includes four short double-helical elements and three loops (D, anti-codon, and T loops). The record is from RNAcentral. Lineage: Bacteria; Pseudomonadati; Pseudomonadota; Betaproteobacteria.
UUCUCAGUAGCUCAAUGGUAGAGUAGUGGACUGUUAAUCCAUUUGUUCUUGGUUCAAAUCCAAGUUGAGAAG